RNAcentral lists this unclassified non-coding RNA (195 nucleotides) under uncultured fungus. RNAcentral's name for it is "sequence contains ITS1". Lineage: Eukaryota; Fungi. The record is from RNAcentral.
UUAACGAUUACAUAAGGGCUCAGACAACACAAUCAAGAGCGUGUGUGGGUCUCUGACGGGCACGCACCAGCCGGGGGGCCGGUGGCCGAACGGACGGCCCGCCAAAGCAACAAAGUUGGAUAAGCUAGGGUGGGAGAUGUACCCCGGGGGGGCAGGAACUCGAUAAUGAUCCUUCCGCAGGUUCACCUACGGAAA